CCAGGCGCGAAUCCCCCGGCGGUGCAAACCGCAGGGGGGCUAGCGCCGCCUUUAUAACCACCCUUUGCCUAUGUGUACCCCUAUCGCUUCCUCGGCGGGCUCGCCCGCCGCCAGGAACCAACCAAACCCUUGCAUUAUACAUGAAAAUUUCCGAUACAAACCAAAAUUAUUACAACUUUUAACAAUGGAUCUCUUGGUUCU
Molecule: unclassified non-coding RNA, 201 nt
Filed under: rhizosphere metagenome
Description: partial ribosomal RNA internal transcribed spacer region
Source: RNAcentral